AUUGAACGCUGGCGGCAUGCCUUACACAUGCAAGUCGAACGGCAGCACGGGAGCAAUCCUGGUGGCGAGUGGCGAACGGGUGAGUAAUAUAUCGGAACGUGCCCGGUCGUGGGGAUAACGUAGCGAAAGCUACGCUAAUACCGCAUACGAUCUACGGAUGAAAGCGGGGGAUCGCAAGACCUCGCGCGAUUGGAGCGGCCGAUAUCAGAUUAGGUAGUUGGUGAGGUAAAGGCUCACCAAGGCGACGAUCCUUAGCUGGUCUGAGAGGAUGAUCAGCCACACUGGGACUGAGACACGGCCCAGACUCCUACGGGAGGCAGCAGUGGGGAAUAUUGGACAAUGGGCGAAAGCCUGAUCCAGCCAUGCCGCGUGCAGGAUGAACGGUCCUAUGGAUUGUAAACUGCUUUUAUACAGGAAGAAACACUCCGACGUGUCGGAGCUUGACGGUACUGUAAGAAUAAGGAUCGGCUAACUCCGU
This 478-nucleotide ribosomal RNA is filed under the name uncultured bacterium. RNAcentral describes it as "bacterial SSU rRNA". It matches the Rfam family "Bacterial small subunit ribosomal RNA", at positions 30 to 506 of the family's 1533-position model. The record is from RNAcentral.